RNAcentral lists this long non-coding RNA (1132 nucleotides) under Equus caballus (horse). RNAcentral's name for it is "lncRNA (ENSECAG00000034590.2)". Lineage: Eukaryota; Metazoa; Chordata; Mammalia; Perissodactyla; Equidae. The record is from RNAcentral.
CCCGCUCUCCCGCCGCGCGCGCUGGGCUGCGCUCAGAAUCCCCCAGGGAACGGGGGUCCAGCCCUGGAGAAGCCGUCUAGGUCUGGGACAGCCAGUUCUGGGGCCACCCGUCGCAUUGUUGGGCUCCCUCUCCGGCUUCUCGGACCGUUGGCUCUCCAGCUUUUGCUCGAUCUCCUCCGGGGACCCCCCAGCACCCUCAACAUGCAUGUGACAGGAGUGCGGCCCCAUUUCACAGAGGGUCACCCAGGGGAAACAGAGGAGCGAGAGGACUCCGGCCCGGCUGGCGCAGGCAGGGCAAGGUUCCCGAAGGAGCCCUCGGAACAGGAAUAGGGGUACAGGAAGGACGUUUCUGGAAGUGCCCUGAGCGCGCCAAAGCGGGGGGCAGGCGGGCGAGGUGCCGCCGGAGCCCCUCUGCGGAUCUUCGAGGAGGUCGGCGCUGCCCAUGUGGGGUCCGAGACUCGGACUCUCCAGACACAGCCCGCCCCAUCCGGCUGGGGAGAGGUCCCCGGCAAGCCCUGGGUGGAGCCAGGUCCCGGGGCCACCCAGGCGUCUGUCGCGGUGGGCGGUGAGAGUGAGAGCACCUGGUCGUUCGCCGCCUACCCCUCGGGCCCCGCAGCCCCUUUCGUGCGGGAAGGACGGCCGCCUCCACCUAGGCUUCCGCCAACUUUAACCAUAUUAUCUCUCCUGCCCCUACGAGUUUCCACAGUAAGGGGGCGGGGGUUGCAGGACCUCCCCGGCCGUACCAGUAUCCAAGUACCACGCGCCUGGGCGCGUAGAUGGACUCAGUUUCCUCGGUGGGAAGUUGCACUGCCUCUGUGGUGCCCCUCUGUUUAUGGGAGUUCUGCUCCACCGCACCUAGGUCAUCUCACCCAUCCCCCAGCUUCUGAACAGGAUGCCGCCACAUUCUGUCAUUGAUCUCAAAACUAUUUGAGCGCCUACUAUGCCUCCGGUCCGAGUUCCUCGCCUCAACUCCCAGCCCCUCCGGCGGCUCCCUAGGCUUAGAGGAAGGAGCGGGAGAUCCAGGAGUACCGAUCUCCAGUCCAGGGCGCAGGGUAAGAGAGCUGAAGGUCGUCGGUGACUGGGUGAAGCCACUGGGGUAGGGCGGGGGUGGGCAGACGCCGGCGGGUCUGGG